GAUGAACGCUGGCGGCAUGCCUAAUACAUGCAAGUCGAACGAGAGGAAGGAAAGCUUGCUUUCCUGAAUCUAGUGGCGAACGGGUGAGUAACACGUAGGUAACCUGCCCAUGUGCCCGGGAUAGCUUCUGGAAACGGAUGCUAAAACCGGAUAGGUAGCAGACAAGCAUUUGACUGCUAUUAAAGUGGCCUUGGCCAUGAACAUGGAUGGACCUGCGGUGCAUUAGCUGGUUGGUGAGGUAACGGCCCACCAAGGCGACGAUGCAUAGCCGGCCUGAGAGGGCGGACGGCCACAUUGGGACUGAGACACGGGCCCAAAACGUCCUAACGGGGAGGCAGCAGGUACGGGAAUUUUUUCGCAAGUGGGGGGAACCCUGAACGAGCAAU
Molecule: ribosomal RNA, 386 nt
Filed under: uncultured bacterium
Lineage: Bacteria
Description: bacterial SSU rRNA
Rfam family: Bacterial small subunit ribosomal RNA
Source: RNAcentral